AACCUUAUGGACCUGCGGGCGUAUACCUGCGGAAGGAUCAUUACCUUUGGCUGCCGUGAACGCUUCGGCGCGAGCGACAGUCAUUCUACAGCGAUGUCUCGUGUCCGGGAAACCGGCUCGGGGCUGACCUAACCCUUCUUUACGUGUACCUUUUAUUCUCCUUCGGCGGGCUCACACCCGCCGCUGGAACUUCAAAACCCAUUUGCAUUUAGCAUUAACUGUUCUGAUAACAUAUAAUUG
RNAcentral lists this unclassified non-coding RNA (240 nucleotides) under soil metagenome. RNAcentral describes it as "partial contains 5.8S ribosomal RNA, internal transcribed spacer 2, and large subunit ribosomal RNA". The record is from RNAcentral.